AUUGAACGCUGGCGGAAUGCCUUACACAUGCAAGUCGAACGGCAGCACGGACUUCGGUCUGGUGGCGAGUGGCGAACGGGUGAGUAAUAUAUCGGAACGUGCCCAGUCGUGGGGGAUAACGUAGUGAAAAUUACGCUAAUACCGCAUACGAUCUAUGGAUGAAAGCGGGGGACCUUUGGGCCUCGCGCGAUUGGAGCGGCCGAUAUCAGAUUAGGUAGUUGGUGGGGUAAAGGCUCACCAAGCCAACGAUCUGUAGCUGGUCUGAGAGGACGACCAUCCACACGGGGACUGAGACACGGCCCAGACUCCUACGGGAGGCAGCAGUGGGGAAUUUUGGACAAUGGAGGCAAGUCUGAUCCAGCCAUUCCGCUUGCAGGACGAAGGCCUUCGGGUUGUAAACUGCUUUUGUACAGAACGAAAAGGUUUCUACUAAUACUAGGGGCUCAUGACGGUACUGUAAGAAUAAGCACCGGCUAACUACGUGCCAGCCGCCGCCGUAA
RNAcentral lists this ribosomal RNA (500 nucleotides) under uncultured bacterium. Its description in RNAcentral is "partial 16S ribosomal RNA". It matches the Rfam family "Bacterial small subunit ribosomal RNA", at positions 30 to 523 of the family's 1533-position model. The record is from RNAcentral.